This 1184-nucleotide ribosomal RNA is filed under the name human gut metagenome. RNAcentral's name for it is "bacterial LSU rRNA". It matches the Rfam family "Bacterial large subunit ribosomal RNA", at positions 1125 to 2292 of the family's 2925-position model. The record is from RNAcentral.
AAAGAGUGCGUAACAGCUCACUGGUCGAGUGGACAUGCGCCGACAAUACACGGGGCUAAGCUGGACACCGAAGCGGCGGGAUUUUAAUUCAUUAGAAUCGGUAGGGGAGCUUCCCAUGGGCGGAGAAGCCGGAGGGCGACCGACGGUGGAGCGCAUGGGAGUGAGAAUGCUGGCAUGAGUAGCGAGAGACGAGAGAGUAACUCGUCCGCCGUGAACCCGAGGUUUCCUGGGCAAGGCUAAUCCUCCCAGGGUCAGUCGGGGGCUAAGGCGAGGCCGGGAGGCGUAGCCGACGCGCAGCAGGCAGACAUUCCUGCACCGCGCACGCGGCGCUACGACCGACGGGGCGACGGAUGGGGGUGGCUCGGCGGGGUUCUGGACGUCCCCGUGAUGGAGCGCGGCCCGCGGACCAGGGAAAUCCGGUCCGCAGAAGGGCGAGGCUCCGGACGAAGCACUUAAGCGAAGCGAGUGAGCCCGAGGUCCCUAGAAAAACCCCUAGGCAGGCGCGUGCGCGCCCGUACCGCAAACCGACACAGGUGGGUGGGUAGAACAUACCGAGGCGAUCGGGUCAACCAUGGUCAAGGAACUCGGCACAAUGGCCCCGUAACUUCGGGAGAAGGGGUGCCCGCGCGUACGUGAACCGGCUUGCCCGGGGAGCGGAGGCGGGCCGCAGUGGAGAGGCCCAAGCGACUGUUUACCAAAAACACAGGACUCUGCAGAAGCCGCAAGGCGACGUAUAGGGUCUGACGCCUGCCCGGUGCCGGAAGGUCACGCGGAGGAGUUAGCGCAUCGCGCGAAGCCCCGAAGCCAAGCCCCGGUAAACGGCGGCCGUAACUAUAACGGUCCUAAGGUAGCGAAAUUCCUUGUCGGGUAAGUUCCGACCUGCACGAAAGGCGCAACGACUUGGGCGCUGUCUCGACCAUGGACCCGGUGAAAUUGCACUGGUCGUGAAGAUGCGACUUACCCGCGGAAGGACGGAAAGACCCCGUGAACCUUCACUGCAGCUUGGCAUUGGCCGCUGGUCCCGCGUGUAGAGGAUAGGCAGGAGGCUAAGAUCCGGAGGCGCCAGCCCCCGGGGAGCCGCCCUUGGAAUACUGCCCUCGCGCGACCGGCGUCCUAACCCGAGGCCGUCAACCGGCUCGGGGACCGUGCCAGGCGGGCAGUUUGACUGGGGCGGUCGCCUCCUA